This is a long non-coding RNA of Patella vulgata (common limpet), 682 nucleotides long. RefSeq lists it as uncharacterized. The transcript is spliced from 3 exons. NCBI's taxonomy places the organism in Eukaryota, Metazoa, Mollusca, Gastropoda, Patellidae. The record is from RefSeq and is a predicted model, not a curated record.
GUGAUCUGUUUGAAUGAUUUGGAAUAAAAGGAGAUUACAGUUUUUUUAUUGAUUUUUUUGAAGGAACCAGGUUGGCGGAUGCAGAAUGGUGGAUACAGAUGGAAGAGGAUGCAGGCAAGGCAAGGCAGAAUGGUGGACACAGAUGGAAGAGGAUGCAGGCAAGGCAGUAUGGUGGUGAUCUGUUUGAAUGAUUUGGAAUAAAAGGAGAUUACAGUUUUUUUAUUGAUUUUUUUGAAGGAACCAGGUUGGCGGAUGCAGAAUGGUGGAUACAGAUGGAAGAGGAUGCAGGCAAGGCAGAAUGGAUGGUGGACACAGAUGGAAGAGGAUGCAGGCAAGGCAGAAUGGUGGACACAGAUGGAAGAGGAUGCAGGCAAGGCAGUAUGGUGGUGAUCUGUUUGAACGAUUCGGAAUAAAAGGAGAUUACAGUUUUUUUGAUUGAUUUUUUGAUGGUAGUGGCAGGCUGCAGACCGAGUUGCUCUCAAUACUUGGGGAUAAGACUAACUGAACAGUCCAGUUCAGUUCCAUUCAGUUCAGUAGGGAUUAAGUUAAUUUGGCUUUUUUUUGUUUGUCAUUGCAUAUGAACUAAUUGCUUUCAGCCACCUAAGUUUGUUUUUCAGGAACCAGGUUGGCGGAUGCAGAAUGGUGGAUACAGAUGGAAGAGGAUGCAGGCAAGGCAGAAUGG